GUUUUUAGUUUAGAUAAUCUUAGUCUUUUGCAUUGACUUAAUAAUAAAUUGUCUGUUUUAAAUAAUUCCU
Fragariocoptes setiger is the source of this 70-nucleotide non-coding RNA. NCBI's taxonomy places the organism in Eukaryota, Metazoa, Arthropoda, Arachnida, Trombidiformes, Phytoptidae. The record is from the annotation of a GenBank genome assembly.